Long non-coding RNA from Falco peregrinus (peregrine falcon), 8186 nucleotides. RefSeq lists it as uncharacterized. NCBI's taxonomy places the organism in Eukaryota, Metazoa, Chordata, Aves, Falconiformes, Falconidae. The transcript is spliced from 9 exons. The record is from RefSeq and is a predicted model, not a curated record.
UCAGCAUCACCUAGCUCUGCUGUCAAGGUGGGCUACUUCAGCUUGAUUUCUUUUUCCUUUGUUAUUGGGUUUUAGAAAUGACUGUUAUAGAGCAGCCAAGCAACUUUUGUUGUCUUCAUACUCCAGUGAAGUUGAGACUCCCAUAUAGACCACUGAGAGCCAUAGGGUCUCAGCAACAUGCCUGAGAAGUUGAACCUCCUGCCUCACCCUGAAAUCCACAGUAUGACAACUGAGUUGCUGUGUUGCACAUGGAACUUGCAGCCUUAGCACAAGACUGGUGGAAGACCAUUAAGCAACUGCAGUAAAUAAUGUCAGGCUGUCGUUGAAUACUAAGGGUCUGAUCUUGCAGGGAACUAGGAAGACAUUUCAGCUCUGUGGAAACUUGCACCACGUCAGGAUAAGUCUUCGGGAGAGAACAGCUAAGGACUUCCUGAUGCAGAGGCACAGGGCUGAUCAGACCACUUCCAAAAGAGAAUCUGUGAAUGGAUAAUGCCUAAGACAGACAGACUGAAUCUGAUCCACUGCAGCGAUACCUGUCUUCUUCAGGGGGAAGCAAAGGAAAGAAGUUGAAAGCUAACAAGGAGAAUAUGGUAAAUUAAAAUUCUGUCCCCAAGGUAAGCAGAACAAAAAAAACCUACAAAUGAGAAAGGUGUUGAGGGGUCACAGAAAUGCAGAGAUAUCUUCAAGUGAUACUGCUCAGUCCCCUGUGUUUUGCUCAAGAAUGGGCUUUGAUUGCAGCCCUGCUCUCUCCAGCUGGCAGAAACGUGCCAAUGGAUGCAUAUGUACCUGUGCGCAACAAUUGCCGCACUAGACAUUGCACCAGGGCUUGAAACGAAGACUGGAAACUCAGGACUGCCCUAAGACCAAAUGUGGCAACUAUUAGAAACAGACAUUUCUGUGGCAGUGGCAGAGAGAAGACUGUGGCAACUCCUGCAGACCGUGGACUUGCACAGCGCAAGCUUAUUUCAUAGAAUAACAGAAUGGUGUGAGUUGGAAGGGACUUUAAAGACCAUCUAGUUCCACCCUGCCCUGCCAUGGGCAGGGACACCUUCCACUAAACAAGGUUGCCCAAAGCCCCAUCCAGCCUGGCCUUGAACGUUUCCAGGGAUGGGUCAUCCACAGCUUCUCUGGGCAACCUAUUCCAGUGCCUCACCACCCUCAAAGUAAAGGAUUUCUUUGAAACAUCUACUCUUCCUAAUAUCUAAUCUAAAUCUACCCUAGUCCCAGUAGGCUAUACAGUUUGGAAGACAUAAUUCUUCACUUUGUGAAGAAGAAUGGUAGAGGGAUCAGAAACAAGACGGAGCCAAUAACUUAGCUGACACUGCAAUCAGCUUACAUUUAUCUCUCUCUGUACCCUGCUCUAGCUUUUUUCUGAACUGGUUCAGAGCACUUGCAAUCAGAAUCUCAAAAUACCUCUCUCUGCCCAUGCCAAGGUGUAUUUAGCAAUUACAUUGCACAGGGUUAGUAUAUUUUCUAAUGAGAAGAGGUGCUAUGAAAGCUUUUAUGUUGUUUUCUUUUUUAUUUGGUUAAUAUACCCAGAGUGUGUGAAUGUGCGUCUGUGUAAUGUUUUGUUAAUGUGACAUUUAUUCUCCUUUCCUUCCAGCCCCUCCUCAAGCAUGUCUGCAAAUCAAUCUGGUUUUGUGUUUAAUGCAAGUUAUCAAUCAUCUUUUCAUGAGCAAAUGGUUUCAUAUUAAGGGGAAGGAAACAUUCUAAUGUAUUCAUUCUAUUAUUGUUCCUUGGAAAAGAUCCAGAUUUGCAAUAAACCAGUGAUUGGAAAUGCACAAAGUAUUUUAAUAUCCCAAUUAUUUUGAUUUAACUUCCUCUAAUAGUUUAAAUUGAUACUGAAUUUAUUUAGAAGCCAUUACAGAGGAAUUCCCCCCACCCUCCCGCCAAGUAGUUCAGAAACACAUAAUGAACUUAAGCUGAAGACAAAAUACAUUGUUCAUAUUCUAAGCUGCCAACGGUAUGAGAAGGGGAAGCUUUUGUAUGAGAAAGCCAGGUGGAGGGAAACGGAAAAAAAAACAAACCCAAAAAAAAGCAAAAACCAAAAAAACCCCAACAAAGCUGCUAUAUAUAAUUCAAUUAUUAUUUAAAAAUUCGUCUGAUUAAAAAAAAAUGUUACAGUGGCAAUUUUUCUGUCUUCAGGAGAUGAUAAUCAGACACCCACUGACUUCCUACAUUACUGGAACUAACACAGAUUUGACUACAUGAAAAGACCUACUCAAAAAUUUCAUCUCUCCCUGCCUACGUUUCUUUUUUUCCAUGUUAUCUGCAUUUUUACCCUACUGUUACAAUCAUGCUUUGCACUUUUCACAUAAAUUCAUCUGAGGUCUUCACAGGAAUGCUUUGCUCAUGUCCAGGAUUUCUCAGCAUCCUUUCACUUCCUGGAUGGACUGAGAAGAUUUUAAGGUGAUAAUGCUCAGUCCUCCAACAGAUAACCUCAGAAACCUGAGAAGCCAUCCCUAGAAGGCUCAUUGCUGCAAUAAAGGUCCAUGGGACACUUCCUGCCUAUCUGCCAAGAGCUUUGUAAGGACAUGUACAGGCAUGAAAAUGUUAUGGCCAGGAUCUUCCCGAACUGAAGCUGGCAAUAUAAAGAGAAAGUGUGUCAGUCCUAAGGUACUAAGUCUUUUCUGGAUCUUUCUUGGUUCUAGAGAUAUCAGUAACAUCUACAGAUGGGAUCAGCGUGGCCUGUCAAGCUCCUGGUGCUACUGACACAGUAAGAAGGCAUCCUUGGCUUGACAAGCUGAUGGCUCCAGGCCUGGAUCCCCAGAGGGACUUUGGACUACAGCAGGAAAAGCUGCCAUUUCUACAUUUAGGAGUCUUAUUCCUUAGUGGACUGACCUGUUCAAUCAAUUCCUUAAAUUAAUCUUCCUUAAAAAAGAAACGUAGGCAGGGAGAGAUGAAAUUUUUGAGUAGGUCUUUCCAUGUAGUCAAUCUCCCUCCAACAAGAAGCAAAGCUACUACAGUUUUAUAUCCUUUUGACCCUAGCAGAAUCCAUGGCAUUACAUUAGCAUAAAGUCAAAGGAGAGGAAAACUGAAAAAAAGUGAGUAGGAUCUUUAUUGUAAGUUAAGAAUUUAUGCCAUAUGAUCAUUUUGAAAAUAACUGUAGCUUGACAAUAGCUAUUGCCUGCAAACAAGCAUUCUGGAUACCACACAAAUACUUAGGAAGCAAAUUCAUGAUGACACAGAGGUUUCUCAAAAAAAUUGGCAAAACAUUGCUUAUUAAUUUUGAAGUGCUAAAUAGGCAGCAUUUUUUAACGCACAUUAAUUCAUGACAUAAAUUUUGACAUAUUCAGAAUUUUUAAAAAAGUUUAAAUAGCAUUAGCAUUUGUUUGAGAAAUGUACUCUAUUUAAGAAUGACCAUAGUUUACUGCUUUCUUUAGUUGCAAGUUAAGAGAUGAGUAUUUCAUGUCAUGCUAUGUCAUUUUAUGAAAGCAUGUGAAUGAAGUCCUUGAAAUUAUUUACCUGUAUCAUCUCACCACCUAGCUUUAGGGCAAAAAGUCAUACUGUUUAUAUUAGCUUACCUUGACAGUGAAUGGUGUGAGUGGAAGAAAUAGCGAUUUCUGAAAAACAGUCAAGAAUGUUCUUUAUGCUGAAAGGACAGCCACUUAAGAGUUAGCCAAUAAUAAUCAUGAGGCGCUACUUAAGACUUCCAGAAAAAAAUCUACUGUUGUUGUAUCCUUUCUUUUGAAUUACCUCUGAUUUUAAAGUGAUUGUUGUGGAGACGGGGAAUUACGGCUCUGGUCUAGGAAGAUUCAAAAUCUUGAUUCUGAAUUGUGACUGAAUACUCUGGAAGUGGGGUAAGCACUACCAUCUUCUUUUUGUAACAGUGCACGCUGCACCCUGAAAUACAAAACUUGUUGUGGGGGCCACUGAGAGGAAAUGUGACUAUUAAGGCCAGUACUUAACACAGACAGUUAGGACAGGGGGAAAUCAGAUAUUUUCAUCCCUAUCUAACAAAAUCAGAAAGGAGGGGAACUACAGGGCAGAUCUUCCACAUCUUUCAUGCAUGCACUAGUAGGCAAAGAGUAGACUGUACUCAGAAAACUUGGGUUUAUGUUUUACAAGCACCUGCAAGACUUUCUCAGGCAGCUCUUCCUGGAUGGGCACCUUUCUCAAGGAUUUUGGUUGCAUUUAGGCAGCACUAAGCCACUCGGCUUCGGUCCAGACCAUGCUGGCAAGAUCUAUGGGCUAAAUGAAUGUGCUCCUGUACGUAUGCAGUGCUCAAACAUAUGCCAUACAAAGGAUAAAGGACUUUUUUUUUUCUUUUUUUUUUCCCCCAUGUUGUCCAGGAGAGCAGCCUGUGAUCUCUGAUGUGCUUGGGCAAUACUCAGCAAUCGCCUUCCUGGACUGCAGACUGGGGUUAAACAAGACCUAAAGCCAUUUCAGAUGGAAUAUCUGCAUCCUGGAUUUUGUCAUGACUAUUCCUUUGUCUCUGAUGCACUGAAGGAAGAAAAGCAUAAUUUGUUGAUGCUGUGAAAGACAGUGGUGGUUAACUAGGCUAAUCACAAUGCAAAGGAAUUUAGUCUGGUGGUGAUAACUUCAGGUUUUUUGUAUAUUUAUCUAGCUAUCUACCUGUCAGCUAAGCAAGUCUAUGAUUAUCUGUAUUUGAACUACUGAGCAAUGAUCUAAGUUUUCUAUAGAUGCAAUCUUCUUUUCCCAAGUCAUGGAACAUUUAUUGAAUCCCUCAAGAUGUUUUAACUCAGUUUCUUAAUGCAAAUUUUUCCUUCUUGAAACAAUCGGGGUGUUGGAGUGUGUCUUUGUCCCUCUGUUCAGUCCUUUAUAAAAUGUAACUAAUAAUUGCACUAUUUUCCUUUGACUGUUGUAGCAAUGCCUUAUCUACUCGGCAUUCUCUUUGAAGAGAAUACCCUCAGAAUAAGAUCAUUUCAGCUUUUCUUUUUUUAAUUCUAUUGCCUAGCCAAAACAGUUGCUCGUUUUUACAGGUGUCACAUUUUCAUUGAUACAAAAGAUGGAAGCCACUGGGAAGUGUCUAGUCCCUACGAGAUGUGGUCCUGAAGAAAGAGAUGCCUUUAACAUGCUACUACUGUGCAUCUGAAGCAGUUUCCUUCCUUGAAGAAGCAAGGUUUAAGCUACUCACUGGAGCAUCAUUUUGAGCAUCCUGUCUUCAAAGCAAAUGAAGAAAAUAAUGUUGAAAGCAAAAUAAAUGAAUAGUGCAUGAACUGCUGCCACCUCUUGGUUAUAUUCAUCACUCCAAGUAUUCGGGGCGUAUUCAUCUAAAUCAAGAAUAUUAGGGCAUUUCAGUUAUUUUUCCCUUUCACCUCACAUCCAGCCUUGAAAACACAAAGCAAGACAGUAUAUUUUUUUUUUUCUCCAGAUGCUAUUGCUGAAAUUGUCAGUUGCAACUAUUAAGGUAAUUUUUAAAGGUCUUCUACCAGUAUUUUUGUGUGCUUAAGCUAAGUCCUUUCUCUUUCUUUUCUGGGGUUUAGGUUUUAUUUAAUUUUAAUCUCCACCUUUGUUAAGCUUCGAGGCAUUCAGUUGGUUAUUUUUGUACUACAACAAAGAGAGUUAACUUUAUUUCAUUGGCAUUCUGAUAGUGAAAGGCAUGAGGACAAAUGAAGGGAAGGGUGGUGGUAGUGGGGAAUUACAUAUGCCUAAGUGAAACAAAAUGAAUUUCCAAUAUAUUUUUUUCCAUGUUUAAAGAAUAACACACUAAUUUUAUUCCUUAUCCAGAUGUGUGUUCUGAUUAGAAGCUCAUUGAAGGUAAUGGCAUAGCUCCAGUGCACUUCAAGAGCUUUUGGACAAUUUCUAGUGAAAAAUAUCAGAUUUCUAUUGAAGUUGUCAGUGGAAUGACAUUGGUUUCUCCCACCCAAUACCGUUCACCACAAUUGUUGCAUGUUUAAUCAGUUCCUGCUGAUUGCAGUAGGACAUCAAUUGACCUUUUCUAGGUCAAUUGCAAUGUGUGGACAGCUAAAAUAUCCUGUCUGAGCAGUCAUUAGAUGCCCUCUAAAUGAUGAUAUACAUGAUGAAUGGGAACAAAAUUCUGGCAACCUCCCAAUGACAGCCACCGGGGUAGGACUUUCACCUGUUCCUCACUUUUUCCCAGCCUUUGGUCCCAUUCCUGUUGAUGUUGUACUUGCUUAUUAACGUGCUUGCUUGUAGCUGUACCUUACCAGGCUCUAUGGCUGCACCACAGCCUAUCACUUCAGACAGCAACAGAGAAGGAUCAGCAAUUUGUACUGAAAAUACAAAUGCAGAAGGUCUAAAAGCAACCUAAUUGAAGCACCCCUGAGUUAAACCAAAGGCUACAUUAACACCCAGGCUAUAAUUAGCAGAUCCUCUCACUUUGCUAAGUGAGAAGGCUUAUCCAUGUGUCUGUCAGCGUAGAAGCAAUAGAAACCACCAUCAAUGUGACAAGCUGUUGUUUGUCAUGUCCUACUGAAAAGCCCUUGCUGAACUGAGACUUUACAAAAAAAGUUUUUUUAUUUGGAAGACCAGAAAUUGUUUGGUCUUUACCCUGCUGGCACGAUACAUCCAGUCAUGGCUGAAGAUCUCUCUCUUAUGGGAUGUUCAUGAUUCUGCAGUUCAGGGCCCAAUGACUCUUUUAUCUUUGUUGUCAUAACUAAAUAGUAUAAUUAUACACAAACACAGCUAAAACCCGCAGCAUUAAGUUUGAAAGGACUACAAAGGAACAGUGUCUUCCUGUGUAGCAGCUCUUGCUUCACUGGCUUUUAUGCAUGAGCUCGUUACAUGACAACUUGCCGCAGCCUGAUUUCCUUACUCACUGAAGUGAUUAAAGCAAUACCACCCCAGAGACCUCUUGUUUGCCUGCACAUAUCACUGCAACCCACUCAGCUUCCUCCAAAGCAAGGGCAGAGGCCCGGUGUGCUGGAAAAUUGGCAGGGUGAGGUCUGUUCUCAUUUCAUAAUGGGGCCAUUCUGUUUCCUCUCUCUCCAGCGUUCUGAAAUCUCUUCCUGAUGACUUGAUUAAAGGAUAUUUUUUUUAAAAAAAAAGAAAGCAGCUUAUCUAGAAGAGUGCAAUAUAUACCAUGAAAAGUGCUAUAAAGCAGUGCUUCACCUUCAGAGCAGUUCAGAGACAGACUAAAUGGAAAAAAGUAUUACACCAUUACCGUUUGUGUUCAACCUCAGACAAAUCCUGGUGGCUUCCAGACCUUCUCCAGGGAUUCAUCUUUCCUGUAUAUUCGCAGUGGUAGAGAAAAGGAACAGGCUGUGAAAGGGGAUACCUUCAAGAGCUCCUGCCUCAUGCCCUGAUUGCCCUGGUGAGUAAGUCUGAAUCAGGAUGAGCCUGGAUUGCCUAUGAAGUCCACUUGCCAUAGGAAUAUCUCUACAGAAAAAAAGAGCAUCUUCCUCAAAAUAACCCUGAACCAUCCUUUCUGGAUCAUGUCUUGUGGUAUAACCACAACAGGAGAGGCAAGAGUUGGGGAAAACAGAGCAUCCCCACAAGAGAAAAACACCACUGUGGGAACCUAUUCAUAUUCACCUUUCCUCACCUGCCCGUGCCAGCACAUUGGAGCAGACCCAACGCCAGCGCGUCCCACAGCAGAGUGCUGCAUCUGCAGGGCUGCGUGGGCUUGUCCACACAGGCUUCCCAACCCUGGGGCCUGCAGCACUGAGUUCCAGAAGGUUCCUCCUCUGUUCGUUAUUCUGGAAAAGAUCUCAGGCUGAACUAAACUGCUUUUGCUGCAUUUCAAUAUAGCAGGGAAGGGUCCAGCCAGACUGAUGUGAGCUCUGCGGGGCCCUCUGCAGCAAACACUGCUGGCUGCUACGGACACAGCAGCAGAGAUACAGACUUUACACUGUUGUUCUGCUCUGGUGAGUAAAAACGCUCUGUGAGGAGAAAUAGUGAUGUUCUAUUCCGGUGAAACCAGCAUAUUCAAAACUGAACUAAGAACUGGAAAAAAAUAUUUUUGGAGAAAAUGCCUGUCAGAAUUUCCCUCAAAUGAGCGUACAGUGCGGUUUCUCCUCUCCCAAAAAUCUAAUUCUUGGGAAAAUGUACAAUUUAUUUAAAGCAGUAACACCAGUUUGGUGUCCCAGCAGUGAAAAGCAAAGAUACAGAUGUUGCUAACUAUGACCUAGGUAGAUUGACAUAAUGAUGUGAGCAGAAUUUAGCACUUACAGUCUGUGGGUAAAUGAAGGAUGCUGGUUUCCAAGGUGGCCAAGUGCUGAAUUCACUUUUAGAAAAAUAAAUUAAAAUCCCAUUGAAAAGCA